Molecule: long non-coding RNA, 2215 nt
Organism: Chelonoidis abingdonii (Abingdon island giant tortoise)
Lineage: Eukaryota; Metazoa; Chordata; Testudines; Testudinidae
Source: RefSeq, a predicted model, not a curated record
AUCCAAGGUUGUCUGGGUUAGAGUCCCCAGCCUGGGUUUGAGUCCCAGUCCAGGUGUUCGAGUCCCUGGAGAGGUGAUUCUGUGUGGGUAAAAGCAUACAAGAAGACUCUGCUCCAACCGCAGUGGCUGGGACCUUUUGAGAUCCUUCUGGGAAGCCCUACCGCCAUCCAAGUGAAGGAGCUACCUACUUGGAUUCAUCAGACCAGAAUCAAGAGGAGUACUGCUCGGGAACCUGACCUGGUGAAGGGUUCCCCAGAAGCAGACGACGUCGGACUUUGAGGGAGCCAUGCACGUUCACCCCACCGCGAACCAGGUGAGCCAGAAGCAGACAACCUCCGUGCCCAGGAUAUAUGGACUGCUACUCCCUUGGGUGACCUGAGGCUAAAGCUCAAAAAGAAGUAUACUGGUGCCCAUUCUCCAAGGAAUGGCAACGAAUAGUCGCUUGGGGAAUUGGUGGACUCAUUUGUGUAUUGUUUGUUGUUUUUCUUUUUUGGUGGUUAAAUUAACUAAGGGAUACGAACAUAAUGCUUUUAUUCGCUUCGCUCAUGAAAUGAAAGCCUGUAUGCCAGCACUGAAUAAUAUUUCAUGUUGGGUAUGCUCCUUGAUGCCAGUAGAUAGUGACCGAGGUCUUCCCAUGAUCCCCAUACCUCUUAGCCCUAUGAAUAUGACAUGGACUCCUUCCCAGAAAGACUCCUCAGGCUUGCAGAAUCUAACCUGGGCAGAUUCAGGAAUCCCGAUUAAUAGAUAUCUUACGGUGUGGGAGCGACCUGGUGAGUGGUGCUUCCUGGACUCAGGAAAGGUGCCUGUAGGAGUUAGCAAUUUUAAAGCCUAUUUUAAUGGAACCCAUUUUGGUGACAGCCGUGGCCCUAAUUGUACUCUUAUACAAGGGUCACCCCAGCCUGGAAAGUCCUGGUAUGUCUUCCCUGCUAAUUUUUGCAGCCUGUUUAAUCGGCGAGUAUUGGAUAAACCUCAUAGGUUUACCAUUAUAUGUUGUGUUGUAGCAUCAGAUCUAUCGCACACUAACUGCACCGCGGUGCCGGAGUGUUAGGAGAUCAUUCGCAUACACUGCAUAAAAAGGCGUUCUUUUAAUUCUUCGGGUACUGAAUACUCUGUGUGUCAGUGUAUCGAUAAUGCUACUAAUAGUUUUCAUGGUCUCUCUGCCUGGACUGGAUGGUAUUAUAAAUCUCAAUAUACUGCAUUUGUUAUAUCUAAUCCCUUGUUUGGAGUUUAUUGGGUUUGUGGAGAAAAGGCUUAUUUGAGCUUGCCUGUGUCCUGGAAGGGGUCAUGCUAUUUGGCCUGGUUAGAACCCCCUGUCCUAUAUCGAGAUCACCUUCCUUCUGGACAUUUAAGAAAUGUGCGAGAUGCCGGGGAAGAUGUUGCCAGGUCUCGACCCCUUACCCGGAAAGCACUUAAUGAUUGGACAGGAACCUGUGCAGCCCUUUUCUUUGCAUGUGGAGGUGCUACUUACCGUAUAGGGGAGGGUAUAAUGAGAUUACAAGGAGUGUUAGAAACAAUGGCUAACAACACCGGUGAAGCCUUCAUUGAUUUGGCCACCGAGCAAAAACAGAUUAGGCAAAUGGUUCUUCAAAAUAGAAUGGCUUUGGAUAUCUUGUUAGCCUCACAAGGAGGGACAUGUGCCUUAAUAGGACAAGAAUGUUGUGUAUACAUUCCUGAUGUUUAUAACACUACGUGGGAAAGAACAAAACAUCUUGAAAAAAUUGCAAGGGAUCAUGGAGGAAAGCGACCCAGCUGGAACUCCUGGUGGAGUGAUUUGUUUAGCUGGAUGCCUGAUGUCGGUGGAUGGCUAGAUAAUUUGUUUAGAAGUGCUGCUGUUAUUAUUUGUGGAUUUUUGUUGCUUUAUGUAAUAAGGUGCGGCUGCUGUAUGGGAGCUCAGUUAUGUAAAGAAGCCCCCAAGGUUACAAGGCCCAGCCAGGUAGUAAACCCCCGAUAUAUAUAAAUAAAUAUGUGUCCCAAGAGUCCCAUUAUGGUCCUCUAGGGACAAAGGGGGGAUUGUUAGGCCUGAAUAAAGAUAUAGCAGACAAAACCAGGUAUGCCAACCUGACCAAAGUCAGGCUAACAGAGAUUUGUGUGUAAUUCCUGAGUGGAAAAUGCUGAAAAAGCAGCAUGUCUCACAAAGCGCUGGGAAAAAGUGAGAUAAGAGAGAAGCUGCAUUCCUGGCAUAGUGCCAGAUGUGCUGUGUUAGGAGCAGCCCCUU